This 72-nucleotide transfer RNA is filed under the name Capra hircus (goat). It matches the Rfam family "tRNA". From Rfam's summary of the family: Transfer RNA (tRNA) molecules are approximately 80 nucleotides in length. Their secondary structure includes four short double-helical elements and three loops (D, anti-codon, and T loops). Further hydrogen bonds mediate the characteristic L-shaped molecular structure. tRNAs have two regions of fundamental functional importance: the anti-codon, which is responsible for specific mRNA codon recognition, and the 3' end, to which the tRNAs corresponding amino acid is attached (by aminoacyl-tRNA synthetases). tRNAs cope with the degeneracy of the genetic code in two manners: having more than one tRNA (with a specific anti-codon) for a particular amino acid; and 'wobble' base-pairing, i.e. permitting non-standard base-pairing at the 3rd anti-codon position. Lineage: Eukaryota; Metazoa; Chordata; Mammalia; Artiodactyla; Bovidae. RNAcentral also lists the same sequence under 2 other names. The record is from Rfam by way of RNAcentral.
UCCCUGGUGGCUCAGAUGGUAAAGCGUCUGCCUGCAGUGCAGGAGACCCAGGUUCAAUCCCUGGGUUGGGAA